This 253-nucleotide ribosomal RNA is filed under the name uncultured bacterium. Its description in RNAcentral is "partial 16S ribosomal RNA". It matches the Rfam family "Bacterial small subunit ribosomal RNA", at positions 524 to 776 of the family's 1533-position model. The record is from RNAcentral.
UACGAGGGGGGCAAAUGUUGUUCGGAAUCACUGGGCGUAAAGGGAGCGUAGGCGGGUUUUUAAGUUAGGUGUUUAAUACCGGGGCCCAACCCCGGACCGGCACUUAAAACUGGGAAUCUUGAAUAGUGGAGAGGUCAGUGGAAUUGGGGGUGUAGCGGUGGAAUGCGUAGAGAUCCCCAAGAACACCCGUUGCGAAGGCGGCUGACUGGACACAUAUUGACGCUGAGGCACGAAAGCGUGGGGAGCAAACAGG